This 115-nucleotide ribosomal RNA is filed under the name Corchorus olitorius. The record is from RNAcentral. Lineage: Eukaryota; Viridiplantae; Streptophyta; Magnoliopsida; Malvales; Malvaceae.
GCGAUCAUACCAGCACUAAUGCACCGGAUCCUAUCAGAACUCCGCAGUUAAGCGUGCUUGGGCGAGAGUAGUACUAUGAUGGGUGACCUCCUGGGAAGUCCUCGUGUUGCACCCC